RNAcentral lists this transfer RNA (63 nucleotides) under Platynereis sp. 2 PA-2020. Its description in RNAcentral is "tRNA-Cys". The record is from RNAcentral. Lineage: Eukaryota; Metazoa; Annelida; Polychaeta; Phyllodocida; Nereididae.
GGCCUUGUAGUUGAUAUACAACAUUAAAUUGCAGCUUUAAAAGAGUGCUUAACACCAAGGCUU